This is a long non-coding RNA of Lycium barbarum (goji berry), 3291 nucleotides long. RefSeq lists it as uncharacterized. The transcript is spliced from 5 exons. NCBI's taxonomy places the organism in Eukaryota, Viridiplantae, Streptophyta, Magnoliopsida, Solanales, Solanaceae. The record is from RefSeq and is a predicted model, not a curated record.
CCCCCCCCACUUUCUUUCCUCUUUCAUCACAAACCCUAGGCGCCUCCUGCAUUCUCUCUCCUCUCUCAUCGCCAAAAAUGGCAAAUGCUCAGACCUCAGCCAGGUUUUAUGCGUCUAAAUGCAUACAACAAUUAAUGCUUUAACAUAUUUUCACCCGAAAUUGCUCCAAACACGGGCUAGGUCUUGAGAUGGGAAGCACAAGGUUUCCAAAUUCAUUCUUGACAGAGGCUGCACAUAAAAAAGAUUGGAAGCACAAGGUUUUAAAAAAAUCUUGAUAGAGGCUGCACAUAAAAAAGAUUUUGACGAGAUUGCAACGUCAAUUCGGAAUAGCAAAAGAAGCGGAAAGAGGUCAGCAGACAGGCGGAUUUGAUCCUUAGAAGCUCUACCAGCAGUGUUGACAGUGCUCCAGUUAUUCCGGAGCCUCACUUCCUUGGUACUAUUUUGUGUAUAUAUAUUCGGGCACGGCAGUACUCAGCCCUUUCUAUGUAUAAACGUACUAUGUCUAGAGGCUCGUAGACAGAUAUGUACAGUCAGUUAAGUAUAGUUAGGUAUAUGGUGUUUUGGCAUGCUAAUGUUGAUGUAUAAGUGAUAACGAAGUUUAUUAGUCUAUGUUCAGAAUGAUGCCGCUAAUGUUAAUGUUCAAAAAAAAAAUGGCUCUGUUUACAUGGCUUGCUAAGAGGUAAAGGUAAAACGAUAGACAAGGGGUGCUCGGUACAAGUAUCGGGUACUCGUCACGGCCCCUAGACGGGUCGUGACACACACAAUCCCCUAGUGGGCGAACCAUCCCCUUAUCCCUUUUACUUAAUCAUUUCAACAAUUAUAAAAUCAUGACCAGAAAUAAAUCAUAAAUAAAUCUAAUUAUUGCCAUAAAUAAAAUAACUACGGAAGUCCUAACUAUUACAACCCCAAAGAUCCGAAAGUCAUCGUAUAAGGACUCUAAAACAUAAAGUUGUCUAAUGAAUGAAUUAAAUAUCUAACAUAAUCAUAAAUAUCUGGAAUGAAAGUAGACAUCCAAAUAAGGAAAGAUCUUCAGGCGGCAUGGCAUGGAUAGGAGCUCACCCUCAGAUCUGAUCGAGAAUGUAACGACCCGUUUGGCCGUUACGGUACUUUUGACCUUGUUGACCCUUUUCGAGUUUCAUUAGCUUAUAUUAGACUUGCGGGAAUGGAUAGUACGAUUUUCGAGGUCAUCGGAUGAAUAUGAGAUUGGUUUUUAUGAUAAUAAGCCUUAAAGCGAAAGAUGUUUGACCCAGAGUUGACUUUGGGGUAAACAGACCUUUUUCAAAAAUUCGUCAAUUCCGAGAGGUCCGGAUGGUCGUUUGUGACUUGUGGGUAUGUGCGGUUCGGUUCCCAAUGCAUUAGAAUGCGUUUUGGGACUUGGAUUAGAAAGUUGGUUUUUGGAGUAUUGGGGGGAUGACUUGGUCAACGAGCCUCCCGUUGGGAAAUCCAAGGCCACAAGUAAGUUCGUAGCGCGUUUUCAUGUGUGUUUGCAUAUUUAUGUUGUAUCUGUGGGGACUCGGGUGAUAGUCGAAUUUCAGGUUGAGACUUGUGGAAUUUUGGGAAAUUCUAGUGUCUGGUGCAUCGCCACGGCGACACCAAGACCGCGGCAGCAGUAUCCCUACUGUGAUGGCCCUGCCGCUAUUUCGGCCUAUAGAAAUUGUGAUUGACCACUAGGGCGGCCAAGUCACCGCUGCAGCGGCACCGCUGUAGCAGACUACAGACCGCUGUAGCGGUCGACGGGGAGUUAAAUGACGUAAAAUCAUCUUUCAAACCCUAUCACUCCUCAUUCAUUACUCUCGGUUUUAGUGCGACUUUGGGAGCAAAACAAGAGAUCCUAAGGAAAUUCUUCAUUGGGGUAAGUUCAUCUAACCCUAUUCAUCAUUUAUAAUUCAUAAUCCACCUUAGAAACUCCCUGAUUCAUGCUGGAGUCUUCCAAUAACUUAUGGAAUAAAGAGGGUUCUUGGGGUUUCUUUCUUAAAUGAUUUUUUGGUUAUCAAACCUUUAUUUUUUGAUGGAAUAAGCUUAUACUAGUAUGGAAUUGAUGGAUAAUAGCUUUGUAAACAUGAUUCCUUCAUUAUUAGUAACCAAUUUGUGAAUUUGAGAAUUAGGGUUCAUACCCAAAUUGGGGGUUUCUCUAUAAAUACGAAUUUAGCUUAAUAUUGAGUUUUUUUUUAGAAUUGAUUAGUGGGUUUUGAUCACUUAGACUUGAAUUGCAUGUUUCACUUUCGAAUUUCCCGUUUCCCCAAAUCCCAUAGGCUUAAGUUGACCAAAUUAGAAGCCUAGAAAUAUGGGUACUGUUCUUCAUUAUUUCUAAUCUAGAUUACGUUAUAAAUAGAUCCUGAGUAUUUGGAGUCAUUGAGGAAGGGCAACGCGCUCGCAUGAUUGUUUGGGAUUUCUGUUCGGCAUUCUAGGUAGGUUAUGGCUUACCUUUUGGUUAGACUUCGGUUAGCGACUCGUAUGUAGUACUUGGGAAUUGUUGGAGACAUCAUGUGAACCGUUGGAUAUGAAGUUUUGGAUGGAAUUCUUAGGUUGGUACUGUUGUGUGACUUGUGUGUUCGGGCACGUCGGUCGUAGAAUCCUUAGGUUUAUGCUUAGCCUUUUUAUGAGAAUUGGUGGUUUCUAUGUAUUAUGGAAGACUGGUUGGAAGGAACGGAUUUAUGUGAUGUACUAUGAUGGUUGUACUUAUAUGAAUUGACUGGAAUCCAUCUGUUAUUUUUGAUAUUCUCAUUGCAUGAUAUACUUUCCCAUAUCCAUAAUACAUCUGUCUUGGUCUUGAUAUUGGAAAAUUGUGAUGACGGAGGUAAGUAUGAUUCAAGCGACAUGCUAUAUUUGCGGAGCCAUCUCUAUGCUAUGUGAUACAGAGUGGUUAGCAACGAUUUGGAUGGCGAAGUCAUUCUAGGCUGUGUGAUAUGGAAUGACGGUACAUGGACUUAGCGGUUCCCCAUGGGUCAUGACUGUCGAGAGGUGGACAUCGUCCCCCCGGAGCAUGUAUAUAUCAUUGAAUUGCAUUUUAUAUGCAUUCAUAGUAUAUGUUCUUAUUGUCAUUUGGAUUGAUAUUGAUCUUUGGUUAUAUUUGAGUUACUGGUUGAGUAUUUGGUUAUGUUUGGACUUGUGAAAUAUUUGAGACAUGGUUUGGUAAUUUAUUACACUAUUUGUACUUGUUGACUUGUAUGUGUCUGUGAGCAUGAUUAUCUUCCUGUUUCCUUGUUUGCAUGGGUGGUCUAACUGAUGUCAGCCUAUGAUGCUUACUCAGUACCGUGUUUUGCACUGAUGCUACCUUGCUGUACUCUUUUU